GAUGAACGCUGGCGGCGUGCCUAAUACAUGCAAGUCGAGCGAACAGACGAGGAGCUUGCUCCUCUGACGUUAGCGGCGGACGGGUGAGUAACACGUGGAUAACCUACCUAUAAGACUGGGAUAACUUCGGGAAACCGGAGCUCAUACCGGACGAUAUAUUGAACCGCAUGGUUCAAUAGUGAAAGACGGUUUUGCUGUCACUUAUAGAUGGAUCCGCGCCGCAUUAGCUAGUUGGUAAGGUAACGGCUUACCAAGGCAACGAUGCGUAGCCGACCUGAGAGGGUGAUCGGCCACACUGGAACUGAGACACGGUCCAGACUCCUACGGGAGGCAGCAGUAGGGAAUCUUCCGCAAUGGGCGAAAGCCUGACGGAGCAACGCCGCGUGAGUGAUGAAGGUCUUCGGAUCGUAAAACUCUGUUAUUAGGGAAGAACAAAUGUGUAAGUAACUAUGCACGUCUUGACGGUACCUAAUCAGAAAGCCACGGCUAACUACGUG
RNAcentral lists this ribosomal RNA (497 nucleotides) under uncultured bacterium. RNAcentral describes it as "partial 16S ribosomal RNA". It matches the Rfam family "Bacterial small subunit ribosomal RNA", at positions 28 to 507 of the family's 1533-position model. The record is from RNAcentral.